CGAAAUGGCGGGAAAAAAUCAUGCCCUGUAUAAACUCGGCUCCGUCUAUGUACCGUCUAUCAGCGGCGCAUUGGUAUGAGUAAACUAGUCUGACUUCGUCCGAUUUACGGGUCAACAUCAGAGAAGGCAGCAUGGAGAGGAAGAACAAAAAACGAGGUAAAACAACGCAGAAAAACGAAGUUAAAGUAUCGGAAGACGAAGUUGCAGCUGAGGCUGACGAUGCAACAGAAACAGAAGUGAAGAAACCGAAACUGUCUACAAGAGAAAUUAGCGAUGUGAAUCACGUCAUCAACCUCACCAUUGAACACUGCAAAUCCUGACGAGUGUUUGAGCGUAGAGCUACGGAACUUGCUGAUGCUCUACGCAGUCACUUCAGUGAAGUGAGCCUGACCUUGAACCCUGAGAAGCCACGCCGUGGCAGCUUUGAGAUCACUCUGAACACCGAGGAUGGAUCAGAUGUCCUCGUGUGGACCGGCCUCAAGAAGGGCCCUCCAAGGAAACUGAAGUUCCCGGACAGUGAUGUCAUAGCCAAGGAGAUUCAAAAGAACCUGAAGUGAAGUAACAGUUAAGGCGUAUUGGUGACUGCCAUUGCUCUGUGUGACUGUCUGGAUGAAGGAGUUCGACACAAGAUGUACAUCUGUUGGAUACUGGAAGGUUGACAGACAACAGACCACUGGUACGAGCAUCAAUGAAGCCUGGCUGGGAUAUUCAGACGGGAUCGCCAAAACACUGUUGUGCUGACAUUUUGUGUGUAUGGGUGAAUCUGUUGUGACAAUUGAAUUUUUAAUAAAAUGUCUCAAAUGUG
This is a long non-coding RNA of Haliotis rubra (blacklip abalone), 805 nucleotides long. RefSeq lists it as uncharacterized. NCBI's taxonomy places the organism in Eukaryota, Metazoa, Mollusca, Gastropoda, Lepetellida, Haliotidae. The transcript is spliced from 4 exons. The record is from RefSeq and is a predicted model, not a curated record.